CCUACGGGAGGCAGCAGUGAGGAAUAUUGGUCAAUGGACGAGAGUCUGAACCAGCCAAGUAGCGUGAAUGAUGACUGCCCUAUGGGUUGUAAACUUCUUUUAUAUGGGAAUAAAAUGUUCCACGUGUGGGAUUUUGUAUGUACCAUAUGAAUAAGGAUCGGCUAACCCCGUGCCAGCAGCCGCGGUAAUAUGGAGGAUCCGAGCGUUAUCCGGAUAUAUUGGGUUUAAAGGGAGCGUAGGUGGAUUGUUAAGUCAGUUGUGAAAGUUUGGGGCUCAACCGUAAAAUUGCAUUUGAUACUGGCAGUCUUGAGUACAGUAGAGGUGGGCGGAAUUCGAGGUGUAGCGGUGAAAUGCUUAGAGAUCUCGAAGAACUCCGAAUGCGAAGGCAGCUCACUGGACUGCAACUGACACUGAGGCGCGAAAGUGUGGGGAGCAAACAGGAUUAGAUACCCGAGUAGUC
This 460-nucleotide ribosomal RNA is filed under the name uncultured bacterium. Its description in RNAcentral is "partial 16S ribosomal RNA". It matches the Rfam family "Bacterial small subunit ribosomal RNA", at positions 338 to 795 of the family's 1533-position model. The record is from RNAcentral.